UGAGGAAUAUUGGUCAAUGGGCGGGAGCCUGAACCAGCCAAGCCGCGUGAGGGAGGAAGGCCCUAUGGGUCGUAAACCUCUUUUGUCAGGGAACAAAAGCGAGUAUGUAUACUAGUCUGAGUGUACCUGAAGAAAAAGCAUCGGCUAACUCCGUGCCAGCAGCCGCGGUAAUACGGAGGACGCGAGCGUUAUCCGGAUUUAUUGGGUCUAAAGGGUGCGUAGGCGGCGAUGCAAGUCAGCGGUAAAAGCCCGGGGCUCAACCCCGGCGAGCCGUUGAAACUGCAGUGCUAGAGAAGGCGAGAGGUACGCGGAAUGCGCAGUGUAGCGGUGAAAUGCUUAGAUAUUGCGCAGAACUCCGAUUGCGAAGGCAGCGUACUGGCGCCUGACUGACGCUGAGGCACGAAAGCGUGGGGAUCGAACAGGAUUAGAUACCC
RNAcentral lists this ribosomal RNA (434 nucleotides) under uncultured bacterium. RNAcentral describes it as "bacterial SSU rRNA". It matches the Rfam family "Bacterial small subunit ribosomal RNA", at positions 355 to 787 of the family's 1533-position model. The record is from RNAcentral.